Molecule: ribosomal RNA, 242 nt
Filed under: uncultured bacterium
Lineage: Bacteria
Description: partial 16S ribosomal RNA
Rfam family: Bacterial small subunit ribosomal RNA
Source: RNAcentral
CGAAGCGAAGCAGUGAUGUGAAGCAAAUACGCACCAAAGCCAGUCCCAGUUCGGAUAAGAGGCUGAAACUCGCCUCUUUGAAGUCGGAAUCGCUAGUAAUCGCAGAUCAGCAUGUUGCGGUGAAUACGUUCCCGGGUCUUGUACACACCGCCCGUCAAACCAUGAGAGUCACCAACACCCGAAGUCCGCCUUGGCGGCCUAAGGUGGGGGAGAUGAUUGGGGUUAAGUCGUAACAAGGUACC